This 28-nucleotide non-coding RNA is filed under the name Homo sapiens (human). The record is from RNAcentral. Lineage: Eukaryota; Metazoa; Chordata; Mammalia; Primates; Hominidae.
UGAAAUAUAUUUAGGACACAGAAUGGGU